GGCCUGCUGGCCCAAUGGCAAGGCGUUUGACUACGAAUCAAAAGAUUGCAGGUUCGAUCCCUGCGUAGGUCA
Molecule: non-coding RNA, 72 nt
Organism: Aspergillus tanneri
Lineage: Eukaryota; Fungi; Ascomycota; Eurotiomycetes; Eurotiales; Aspergillaceae
Source: the annotation of a RefSeq genome assembly